Long non-coding RNA from Haliotis rubra (blacklip abalone), 983 nucleotides. RefSeq lists it as uncharacterized. NCBI's taxonomy places the organism in Eukaryota, Metazoa, Mollusca, Gastropoda, Lepetellida, Haliotidae. The record is from RefSeq and is a predicted model, not a curated record. The transcript has 2 exons.
UUGUCAAGGUACCGUGAUGGUGUUGACUGGAGCUCACACUCGGCACCAUUGGUUGUCAAGGUACCGUGAUGGUGUUGACUGGAGCUCACACUCGGCACCAUUGGUUGUCAAGGUACCGUGAUGGUGUUGACUGGAGCUCACACUCGGCACCAUUGGUUGUCAAGGUACCGUGAUGGUGUUGACUGGAGCUCACACUCGGCACCAUUGGUUGUCAAGGUACCGUGAUGGUGUUGACUGGAGCUCACGCUUUCAGGGACGGUUUUGCAGGUACAUGAGUAUUUGCAAUCUGCUGUGAGCUGGCAGGAAUGGUGUUCACAAUGGCAUAAUCAAAAUGACCCUUUUUAGUUGUGUGUGUAACUCAGCAUGAGCUGAGAAAAGGGGAUGUUUUGUGUGUAUGUUUUCUUUGAUUUCUCCAUUGUCAAUAUAUGAGUUAUUUAAAGACUGUUGGUUGGUAUUGCACAAGGCAACUAUUUUCAGAACAGUUUGCAUGUAUUUAAACUGUUUGCACAUCAGUGGUAUAGUUUUGCAUGUAUAACAUUCUCAGUGCUUAAAUACUUUGUUUUGUUUGUUAAUGUGGGAUAAGACUCAGUUCUUUGAACAUACAAUAUUAAUAUUAUUAUUAUUAAGCCUUUUUUAUGGUGUUUUCUGUUUGCAUUUUUCUCACAUAAAUUACUGGAGUUUACUUCAGAAUACUGAGCUUUGUAGUGUAUACAGAUCAUAUUUGGUAAUAUACAGAAUUAAAGGAAACUGGAAAUAAUCAGAAUUCUUUAGCAUAUUAUAAUAACUUCCCUUUGCGUGUGUGAAUUGUCAGUGUUUUAGUGCAGUUUUAAGCAGUAGAGUGGUAGUAGUUAGGGCUGGCUAAAAAGAUUGAUAAUUGGAAAUAUCGUCAAUUGGAAAAAUUAUCGAUGUGAUAAUUGUGUCAUCAUUAAUAUUGUACAUAAAUUUUGUGAUGAAAUAAAGUUUUAAUUUUGUCCCACAAUACA